Molecule: ribosomal RNA, 433 nt
Filed under: uncultured bacterium
Lineage: Bacteria
Description: partial 16S ribosomal RNA
Rfam family: Bacterial small subunit ribosomal RNA
Source: RNAcentral
AACGAACGCUGGCGGCAUGCCUAACACAUGCAAGUCGAACGAGACCUUCGGGUCUAGUGGCGCACGGGUGCGUAACGCGUGGGAACCUGCCCUUAGGUUCGGAAUAACUCCCCGAAAGGGGUGCUAAUACCGGAUAAUGUCUUCGGACCAAAGAUUUAUCGCCUUUGGAUGGGCCCGCGUUGGAUUAGCUAGUUGGUAGGGUAAAAGCCUACCAAGGCGACGAUCCAUAGCUGGUCUGAGAGGAUGAUCAGCCACACUGGGACUGAGACACGGCCCAGACUCCUACGGGAGGCAGCAGUGGGGAAUAUUGGACAAUGGGCGAAAGCCUGAUCCAGCAAUGCCGCGUGAGUGAUGAAGGCCUUAGGGUUGUAAAGCUCUUUCACCCGGGAUGAUAAUGACAGUACUGGGAGAAUAAGCUCCGGCUAACUCCGUG